This 1252-nucleotide long non-coding RNA is filed under the name Bos indicus x Bos taurus (hybrid cattle). RNAcentral's name for it is "lncRNA (ENSBIXG00005008761.1)". The record is from RNAcentral. Lineage: Eukaryota; Metazoa; Chordata; Mammalia; Artiodactyla; Bovidae.
AUUUUUACAUGAUAGCUAUUAAUAUUAUUAUUAAGCACAUUAAUUUAAGAUAACGUGUCCAAUUAACUUCAGGGAAAAAUUGACUGACUUAACCCUGAUUAUAACCCAACAGAUAUGGAGCUGCUGCUGCUGCUGCUAAGUCGCUUCAGUUGUGUCUGACUCUGUGCGACCCCAUAGACAGCAGCCCACCAGGCUUCCCCGUCUCUGGGACUCUCCAGGCAAGACCACUGGAGUGGUUUGCCAUUGCCUUCUCCGAGAUAUGGAGCAGUGGUUCUCUAAAGAAAAAAACCUUUGUGAACCCUCAAAGGCCUUGUAAAUUUGUGCUCAGAUUCCAUCUUAAAAUAACUUCAAAAUUAAUGGCUGUGACUGGCAUGUGAGAAGAGUGAGGAGAAAUGACUUCAGUGGCCCCACAGGAGUUCGGAGCAGAGAACAGGGCAUCAUCUGGUCUGGCACUGUUCUUGGGCACCAAGUCCCUCGUCUACCACCACAAGAAGCCUCGACUACCCAGAGAUAAGGAAAGUAACUCAAGGAUGUUGGAAAAAGUACAAUAUGGACUAUGGCUUUGGGACUGGCAACUUCUGGACUCCCCAUUCCACUGCUGGUAAUGGCUCUUGACACCACAUAUGCUUUCCAGGAGUUUUUGAAGCUGAGCCCAAGAGGUUUCUCAGCUAUGCUUCCACAGUCUCUGCAGACAGCCAAGCACAUGCCCACUACAUUUACUGCCCUCUAAACAGCUUGAGCACCUUUAUCCGCUUUAAAUAUUAACCUUCUGGUUCAGACUAUAUUUAAAGGGUUCCACUUAACGCACCUCAUUCAGUUUCUGAAAACCAGUUAGAUUUCUGGAGUCAGAGUUCGAUUCUGCAUGACACUGACCACCUUCAGCUACAUUUUUUGGGUAACUCCAUCUAUGCCAGAGCACUAUUUGUAUGGUACAAUUUCUCCUCUUAUAAAAUAGAGAAGAUGUGCUUUCAUCCUUGCAGGAUAAGUGUGAUGGUGAAUAAGAUAAAAGCUAAAUUUACUCAGAGAUAAAAAAUGCAUAUUAAGUGUUAUAACUACACAUCAAUAGACUCCAUUUUUGAUUGUGGUUUCAAGAGUAUUAGGCUAUCUGCUGGCUUCACUCAUCUUACCCCUUUGGUAAGACUGGCUCUUAUAUUUUCUGUAUAGUUCAGUUCAGUUCAGUCGCUCAGUCAUGUCCGACUCUUUGCUACCCCAUGAAUCGCAGCACGCCAGGCCUCCCUGUCCAUCAUCAGCU